RNAcentral lists this ribosomal RNA (253 nucleotides) under uncultured bacterium. Its description in RNAcentral is "partial 16S ribosomal RNA". It matches the Rfam family "Bacterial small subunit ribosomal RNA", at positions 524 to 776 of the family's 1533-position model. The record is from RNAcentral.
UACAGAGGGUGCGAGCGUUGUUCGGAAUUACUGGGCGUAAAGAGCGUGUAGGCGGUCUAGCAAGUCAGAUGUGAAAGCCCAGAGCCUAACUCUGGAAGUGCAUUUGAAACUGCUAGGCUUGAGUGAUGUAGAGGUUGGCGGAAUACCCAGUGUAGAGGUGAAAUUCGUAGAUAUUGGGUAGAACACCGGUGGCGAAGGCGGCCAACUGGGCAUUAACUGACGCUGAGACGCGAAAGCGUGGGGAGCAAACAGG